This 568-nucleotide ribosomal RNA is filed under the name uncultured bacterium. Its description in RNAcentral is "bacterial SSU rRNA". It matches the Rfam family "Bacterial small subunit ribosomal RNA", at positions 60 to 676 of the family's 1533-position model. The record is from RNAcentral.
AGUCGAGCGCCCCGCAAGGGGAGCGGCAGACGGGUGAGUAACGCGUGGGAACGUACCCUUUUCUACGGAAUAACGCAUGGAAACGUGUGCUAAUACCGUAUGUGCCCUUCGGGGGAAAGAUUUAUCGGAAAAGGAUCGGCCCGCGUUGGAUUAGCUAGUUGGUGGGGUAAAGGCCUACCAAGGCGACGAUCCAUAGCUGGUCUGAGAGGAUGAUCAGCCACAUUGGGACUGAGACACGGCCCAAACUCCUACGGGAGGCAGCAGUGGGGAAUAUUGGACAAUGGGCGCAAGCCCGAUCCAGCCAUGCCGCGUGUGUGAUGAAGGCCUUAGGGUUGUAAAGCACUUUCACCGGAGAAGAUAAUGACGGUAUCCGGAGAAGAAGCCCCGGCUAACUUCGUGCCAGCAGCCGCGGUAAUACGAAGGGGGCUAGCGUUGUUCGGAUUUACUGGGCGUAAAGCGCACGUAGGCGGAUCGAUCAGUCAGGGGUGAAAUCCCAGAGCUCAACUCUGGAACUGCCUUUGAUACUGUCGAUCUGGAGUAUGGAAGAGGUGAGUGGAAUUCCGAGUGU